ACGCACGCUGGCGGCGUGCUUCACACAUGCAAGUCGAACGGUGAAGCGCCUUCCUUUUUGGUGGGUGUGGAUGAGUGGCGAACGGGUGAGUAACACGUGAGUAACCUGCCCCCUUCUUCUGGAUAACCGCAUGAAAGUGUGGCUAAUACGGGAUAUUCUGGGUCUGUCGCAUGAUGGGUCUGGGAAAGAUAUUGUUUCGGUGGGGGAUGGGCUCGCGGCUUAUCAGCUUGUUGGUGGGGUGAUGGCCUACCAAGGCGGUGACGGGUAGCCGGCCUGAGAGGGUGGACGGUCACACUGGGACUGAGACACGGCCCAGACUCCUACGGGAGGCAGCAGUGGGGAAUACUGCACAAUGGGCGCAAGCCUGAUGCAGCGACGCCGCGUGAGGGAUGGAGGCCUGCGGGUUGUGAACCUCUUUCGCCAGUGAAGCAGGCCUGCCUCGUUUGUGGGUGGGUUGACGGUAGCUGGAGAAGAAGCGCCGGCUAACUACGUG
RNAcentral lists this ribosomal RNA (493 nucleotides) under uncultured bacterium. RNAcentral's name for it is "partial 16S ribosomal RNA". It matches the Rfam family "Bacterial small subunit ribosomal RNA", at positions 29 to 507 of the family's 1533-position model. The record is from RNAcentral.